AUGUGGUUAAUUUGACUCAACGCGGAAAAGCUUAUCUGGUCCGGACGCAGUGAGGAUUGACAGACAGUUUCAGGAGUGGUUCUUGGUAAACAAUUGAGAGAGUUGAAGUUCUUUCAUGAUCUUGUGAGAGGUGGUGCAUGGCCGUUCUUAGUUCGUGUAGUGAUAUGUCUGCCUAAUCGCGUCACGAUAACCUAUUGGUCGACAACCCAAUUAUCACAACUGCAGCAUAACUCCCCUUGGGUGGGCGAGGCUCUGUGUAGGAUAGACCUCUGAACAGUACGCAACGAACGCGAUCGUAAUCCCUUGUUGAGUGGCCAUCCUGUAAGCUGCUGGAUUAGGAACCCAGUGGUAUUAUCUCAGCCACAGAUUUUCUGGUUGUAAUGGGCCAGUUUUGAAACUCGGGGAACAUCUGUGACUUUCUUUCUUAACGCAGAGGAAGGUUAUGGCAAUAACA
This 454-nucleotide ribosomal RNA is filed under the name Globigerina bulloides. Its description in RNAcentral is "bacterial SSU rRNA". It matches the Rfam family "Eukaryotic small subunit ribosomal RNA", at positions 1190 to 1458 of the family's 1831-position model. Lineage: Eukaryota; Foraminifera; Rotaliida; Globigerinidae. The record is from RNAcentral.